Pelobates cultripes (western spadefoot toad) is the source of this 715-nucleotide non-coding RNA. NCBI's taxonomy places the organism in Eukaryota, Metazoa, Chordata, Amphibia, Anura, Pelobatidae. The record is from the annotation of a GenBank genome assembly.
GCGGUGGUGAAGAUUUUGUACCACAGAGUGGCAUUGCUGUAUGUUUCAGGAAUGCAAUGCGGCGGCUGAAGUGUAACUGGAAACACGCUGCUCGCUGCCGUGACGGUCAUCCAUGUGGUAAAUCCCACCUGCUCACAGCACCCGUGGAGUAUACAGUCAUCGGAGUUCCAUGCAGCUGGCAGAGUGAAAAUAAUGUUCAUCUCCUCAUGGGAGUCUCUGCCUGAAAGACCAAUUUGGUGGCCAAAAAUUGUGGAGCUCAGGUGUGUUACGUUUUGAGAUAACCCUCCAAAGAGCUUUAAAGGAUCCAAACUCAGUGUAACGGCUACAGAGAUAUUUAUGGGUCCAGAAUCUUCUAAUGCCUGUGGUGUCUGAGUGGAUGACCUCGCCUGGCCGGUGGUCACUGUACUCUCAGGAGGGGUGGUAUCAUUGAGGAGGCGCUUCAGAGUUUCAUUCUCACAUAUACACAGGUCCAGGUUGUUAAACCUUAAGAGGAAAGUGUUCCAGUCCUCUGUCAUCUCUGGUGAUUUGAUUUCUUUCAUCUUGAAGAAGUACCCCAGAGUCAAGAAGGCUAUGGCCAUCCCACUAAUGCUGACCAUAAAGACCACCAGCGGCGGUCGGCUGCUAAUAUAGGCCUUCAGGUUCUCCAGGGGAUGUAAGCUUAGAAUCAUGGUGAUGGAAAUACCCUGCAGGGCCUGCAAUGUCCGCGCUGUCGGCC